Molecule: ribosomal RNA, 128 nt
Filed under: Staphylococcus pseudintermedius
Lineage: Bacteria; Bacillati; Bacillota; Bacilli; Caryophanales; Staphylococcaceae
Description: partial 23S ribosomal RNA
Rfam family: Bacterial large subunit ribosomal RNA
Source: RNAcentral
GAUUAAGUUAUUAAGGGCGCACGGUGGAUGCCUUGGCACUAGAAGCCGACGAAGGACGUUACUAACGACGAUAUGCUUUGGGGAGCUGUAAGUAAGCUUUGAUCCAGAGAUUUCCGAAUGGGGAAACC